AUAACUUACCCUUAGGACUGGGAUAACUCUGGGAAACUGGGGAUAAUACCGGAUAUUAGGCUAUGCCUGGAAUGGUUUGCCUUUGAAACGUUCUUUUCGCCUAAGGAUAGAUCUGCGGCUGAUUAGGUCGUUGGUGGGGUAAUGGCCCACCAAGCCUAUGAUCGGUACGGGUUGUGAGAGCAAGAGCCCGGAGAUGGAACCUGAGACAAGGUUCUAGACCCUACGGGGUGCAGCAGGCGCGAAACCUCCACAAUGUACGAAAGUGCGAUGGGGGAAUCCCAAGUGUUAUUCUUAACAGAAUAGCUUUUCAUUAGUGUAAAAAGCUUUUAGAAUAAGAGCUGGGCAAGACCGGUGCCAGCCGCCGCGGUAACACCGGCAGCUCGAGUGGUAGCUGUUUUUAUUGGGCCUAAAGCGUUCGCAGCCGGUUUGAUUAGUCUUUGGUGAAAGCUUGUAGCUUAACUAUAAGAAUUGCUGGAGAUACUAUCAGACUUGAAGUCGGGAGAGGUUAGAGGUACUACCGGGGUAGGGGUGAAAUCCUAUAAUCCUGGGAGGACCACCUGUGGCGAAAGCGUCUAACUAGAACGAUCUUGACGGUGAGUAACGAAAGCCAGGGGCGCGAACCGGAUUAGAUACCCGGGUAGUCCUGGCCGUAAACGAUGUGGACUUGGUGUUGGAAUGGCUUCGAGUUGUUCCAGUGCCGAAGGGAAGCUGUUAAGUCCACCGCCUGGGAAGUACGGUCGCAAGACUGAAACUUAA
RNAcentral lists this ribosomal RNA (756 nucleotides) under uncultured archaeon. Its description in RNAcentral is "bacterial SSU rRNA". It matches the Rfam family "Archaeal small subunit ribosomal RNA", at positions 104 to 859 of the family's 1478-position model. The record is from RNAcentral.